ACGAGCGCAACCCUUAUCUUUAGUUGCCAGCACAUAAUGGUGGGGACUCUAGAGAGACUGCCGGUGACAAACCGGAGGAAGGUGGGGAUGACGUCAAAUCAUCAUGCCCCUUAUGUUCUGGGCUACACACGUGCUACAAUGGCAGAUACAACGGGAAGCGAAGGGGUGACCUGAAGCAAAACCCAAAAAGUCUGUCCCAGUUCGGAUUGUAGGCUGCAACUCGCCUACAUGAAGUUGGAGUUGCUAGUAAUCGCGGAUCAGAAUGUCGCGGUGAAUGCGUUCCCGGGUCUUGCACACACCGCCCGU
RNAcentral lists this ribosomal RNA (306 nucleotides) under uncultured bacterium. RNAcentral's name for it is "bacterial SSU rRNA". It matches the Rfam family "Bacterial small subunit ribosomal RNA", at positions 1092 to 1397 of the family's 1533-position model. The record is from RNAcentral.